CAGGUUGGUCGGGCAGUCGCGGUAUGGCUUUGGCUGUAUCGAGGAAAGUCCGCACUCCACAGAGCACGAUGCCGGAUAACGUCCGGGGCGGGGUAACCUGCCGGAUUGGGCCACAGAAACAAACCGCCGUUUCCCGGCUUCAGUCGGGAUAUGGUAAGGGUGAAAAGGUGGCUUAAGAGACCACCGGCGCGGGCAGUAAUGUCCGCGGCCAGGCAACCCCCAUCGGGAGCAAGGCCAAGCAGGCACGAGAGGCUGCUCGUCUCAUUUGAGUGCCGGGUAGGCUGCUUGAGGCGCAGGGUGACCUGUUGCCCAGAUAGAUGAUUGCCCAGGUUGGGCGACAGUGGGAUGAAGUCCUCGGAUGUAAACCAUUGUCCCCAAUCGGACAGAAUGCGGCUUAUAGACUGACCUGGGAU
This 413-nucleotide RNase P RNA is filed under the name Anaerolineales bacterium. RNAcentral's name for it is "RNase P RNA component class A". It matches the Rfam family "Bacterial RNase P class A". Rfam says of the family: Ribonuclease P (RNase P) is a ubiquitous endoribonuclease, found in archaea, bacteria and eukarya as well as chloroplasts and mitochondria. Its best characterised activity is the generation of mature 5'-ends of tRNAs by cleaving the 5'-leader elements of precursor-tRNAs. Cellular RNase Ps are ribonucleoproteins. Lineage: Bacteria; Bacillati; Chloroflexota; Anaerolineae; Anaerolineales. The record is from RNAcentral.